GGAGGUAGUGACAAUAAAUCACAAUGCGGGACUUUUAGUUUUGCAAUUGGAUUGAGAACAAUGUAAAAGAGUUAUCGAUAAACAAUUGGAGGGCAAGUCUGGUGCCAGCAGCCGCGGUAAUUCCAGCUCCAAUAGCGUAUAUUAACGUUGUUGCAGUUAAAAAGCUCGUAGUUGAAGUGUGGGGUAAAAGAAUGUGUGUUCAUUUUGAAUGUGCGUUUGCUUACCCCCUCUCCAAUGUGUUAUUAUGGGUAUUAAUUUACUUGUAAUAGCUAUUGGUCAUUUACUGUGAGAAAAUUAGAGUGUUCAAAGCAGGCAUUUGCUUGAAUAUAUUAGCAUGGAAUAAUAAUAAAAGGCUUUUGUGGUCGAUUUAAUUGGUUUGUUCAUGAAAGCAAGAUUAAUAGGGACAGUUGGGGGUAUUCAUAUUCAAUAGUUAGAGGUGAAAUUCUCGGAUUUAUGGAAGAUGAACAAGUGCGAAAGCA
Molecule: ribosomal RNA, 479 nt
Filed under: Blastocystis sp.
Lineage: Eukaryota; Bigyra; Opalinata; Blastocystidae
Description: SSU rRNA
Rfam family: Eukaryotic small subunit ribosomal RNA
Source: RNAcentral